RNAcentral lists this transfer RNA (74 nucleotides) under Lentisphaerota bacterium. RNAcentral's name for it is "Lentisphaerae bacterium (anaerobic digester metagenome) tRNA-Val". It matches the Rfam family "tRNA". Rfam says of the family: Transfer RNA (tRNA) molecules are approximately 80 nucleotides in length. Their secondary structure includes four short double-helical elements and three loops (D, anti-codon, and T loops). Further hydrogen bonds mediate the characteristic L-shaped molecular structure. tRNAs have two regions of fundamental functional importance: the anti-codon, which is responsible for specific mRNA codon recognition, and the 3' end, to which the tRNAs corresponding amino acid is attached (by aminoacyl-tRNA synthetases). tRNAs cope with the degeneracy of the genetic code in two manners: having more than one tRNA (with a specific anti-codon) for a particular amino acid; and 'wobble' base-pairing, i.e. permitting non-standard base-pairing at the 3rd anti-codon position. Lineage: Bacteria; Pseudomonadati; Lentisphaerota. The record is from RNAcentral. RNAcentral also lists the same sequence under 1 other name.
GGGCGGUUAGCUCAGCUGGUCAGAGCGUCACGUUUACACCGUGAAUGCCGGGGGUUCGAGUCCCUCACCGCCCA